Ostrea edulis (European flat oyster) is the source of this 524-nucleotide long non-coding RNA. RefSeq lists it as uncharacterized. The record is from RefSeq and is a predicted model, not a curated record. NCBI's taxonomy places the organism in Eukaryota, Metazoa, Mollusca, Bivalvia, Ostreida, Ostreidae. The transcript has 5 exons.
AUUCAUUGUUUUUACCAGAUCCAGCAGAUCACAGAAAGCAUCUAGUAGGGGAGGUCUACAGAUCGAAGCAUGCCAAACGUGUAAAGAACAAGUUUCCAGGAUUAAGCCAGCCAGUAGAUGAGACUAUCAUAUCAAAAAUACAUUUACUUGUACACGAGGGCACACAAAGCGUUGAUGAAACAAAAAGACAUUUCCGUCUGUUUGUAAAGGAUACUAUUUCACCAGGGAACACCAUCUCAGAAUUUAACAGAUGCUUUUACCCCGCCAAUAAGGAUGUAAGAAAUCACAUUUACAGGGCACCGAGAUUUUGCCAGGUAGUUUAGAACUGUGUGCAUUGGUUUUGGAAGAAUUUGGGCUGUUUAGGCUAAAAUCCAUUAUGAUUGGACAGAAUAUGAACACACACAUCCAAUACUUCAAAGAUAUUAUGUUUGUGGAGGCAGAGAUUUUGAUUGCAUCCACUGUUUAGAAUACAUCCUUAAGGGAAGCAGACUGCCGUCUUUACCCAGUGAUAUAAUGAUUAAUCA